Molecule: small RNA, 29 nt
Filed under: Bombyx mori (domestic silkworm)
Lineage: Eukaryota; Metazoa; Arthropoda; Insecta; Lepidoptera; Bombycidae
Description: ovarian small RNA-29975
Source: RNAcentral
UCUGCGAGAAUGUGGAAAAUUGCGGUAGC